RNAcentral lists this ribosomal RNA (497 nucleotides) under uncultured bacterium. RNAcentral's name for it is "partial 16S ribosomal RNA". It matches the Rfam family "Bacterial small subunit ribosomal RNA", at positions 28 to 507 of the family's 1533-position model. The record is from RNAcentral.
GAUGAACGCUGGCGGCGUGCCUAAUACAUGCAAGUCGAGCGAACGGACGAGAAACUUGCUUUUCUGAUGUUAGCGGCGGACGGGUGAGUAACACGUGGAUAACCUACCUAUAAGACUGGGAUAACUUCGGGAAACCGGAGCUAAUAUCGGAUAAUAUUUUGAACCGCAUGGUUCAAAAGUGAAAGACGGUCUUGCUGUCACUUAUAGAUGGAUCCGCGCUGCAUUAGCUAGUUGGUAAGGUAACGGCUUACCAAGGCAACGAUGCAUAGCCGACCUGAGAGGGUGAUCGGCCACACUGGAACUGAGACACGGUCCAGACUCCUACGGGAGGCAGCAGUAGGGAAUCUUCCGCAAUGGGCGAAAGCCUGACGGAGCAACGCCGCGUGAGUGAUGAAGGUCUUCGGAUCGUAAAACUCUGUUAUUAGGGAAGAACAUAUGUGUAAGUAACUGUGCACAUCUUGACGGUACCUAAUCAGAAAGCCACGGCUAACUACGUG